This 430-nucleotide unclassified non-coding RNA is filed under the name Hevea brasiliensis (rubber tree). The record is from RNAcentral. Lineage: Eukaryota; Viridiplantae; Streptophyta; Magnoliopsida; Malpighiales; Euphorbiaceae.
GAAUUUUCCGCAGCGGGCUGACGUUGCGCGCAUACUCCUCGUUCUCGGUGACCGGGAUCGCCUUGAUCGGAACGACAAACUCGAUCUUGUCGAACAGGCCAAGCUCCAUCGCCGCGAUGCGGAUCUUGCGCGCNGGCGACGCCGGUGAAUAGGCAAGUUUCAUGGAGCGUUCCUGAAUGAUGGAAUGAACAGCGGCUCCGGCGCGAACGCCGGAGCCAUGAACGUUCAGGUACUUACGCCGCGACGAUUNGACGCUGCGCGCCGAGGCCGUCGAUGCCGAGGGUGACGACGUCGCCGACGUUGAGGAACUUCUGCGGCUUCAUGCCCAUGCCGACGCCGGGCGGCGUGCCGGUGGUGAUGAUGUCGCCNUACAGCGUCAUGAUUUCAGAUACGUAGGACACGAUCUUCGCCACACCGAAGAUCAUGGUUG